Molecule: ribosomal RNA, 203 nt
Filed under: Streptococcus suis
Lineage: Bacteria; Bacillati; Bacillota; Bacilli; Lactobacillales; Streptococcaceae
Description: partial 23S ribosomal RNA
Rfam family: Bacterial large subunit ribosomal RNA
Source: RNAcentral
GUUCUAUGUGUGAAGAAGGUAUACCGUGAGGAGUGCUGGAACGCAUAGAAGUGAGAAUGCCGGUAUGAGUAGCGAAAGAUGGGUGAGAAUCCCAUCCACCGCAAGACUAAGGUUUCCAGGGGAAGGCUCGUCCGCCCUGGGUUAGUCGGGACCUAAGGAGAGACCGAAGGGUGUAUCCGAUGGACAACAGGUUGAUAUUCCUG